This 173-nucleotide non-coding RNA is filed under the name Algoriphagus chordae. Lineage: Bacteria; Pseudomonadati; Bacteroidota; Cytophagia; Cytophagales; Cyclobacteriaceae. The record is from RNAcentral.
UCCAUCGUGAGGUGGAAUCUGAAGGAAGCCAGCGGCAAAUUCUCGGCCUGACGAACAGAAACUACAUAUAAGGCCAAAGUUGUCUGGAUGAGGUUGCCCAACAAACCAAAGUCCUAUACUGCUCGGAGACAACAUGGUAGAUGUAGCGGGUAUACGAGAAGAAAGUUAUUGUU